GAAGCUGACCAGACAGUCGCCGCUUCGUCGUCGUCCUUUCGGGGAGACGGGCGGAGGGGAGGAAAGUCCGGGCUCCAUAGGGCAGGGUGCCAGGUAACGCCUGGGGGGGGAAACCCACGACCAGUGCAACAGAGAGCAAACCGCCGAUGGCCCACGCAAGUGGGAUCAGGUAAGGGUGAAAGGGUGCGGUAAGAGCGCACCGCGCGGCUGGUAACAGUCCGUGGCACGGUAAACUCCACCCGGAGCAAGGCCAAAUAGGGGUUCAUAAGGUACGGCCCGUACUGAACCCGGGUAGGCUGCUUGAGCCAGUGAGCGAUUGCUGGCCUAGAUGAAUGACUGUCCACGACAGAACCCGGCUUAUCGGUCAGUUUCAC
Molecule: RNase P RNA, 374 nt
Filed under: Salmonella enterica subsp. enterica serovar Give
Lineage: Bacteria; Pseudomonadati; Pseudomonadota; Gammaproteobacteria; Enterobacterales; Enterobacteriaceae
Description: RNase P RNA component class A
Rfam family: Bacterial RNase P class A
About the family: Ribonuclease P (RNase P) is a ubiquitous endoribonuclease, found in archaea, bacteria and eukarya as well as chloroplasts and mitochondria. Its best characterised activity is the generation of mature 5'-ends of tRNAs by cleaving the 5'-leader elements of precursor-tRNAs.
Source: RNAcentral